This 261-nucleotide long non-coding RNA is filed under the name Serinus canaria (Common canary). Its description in RNAcentral is "lncRNA (ENSSCAG00000000871.1)". The record is from RNAcentral. Lineage: Eukaryota; Metazoa; Chordata; Aves; Passeriformes; Fringillidae.
AUGUGCCUCCUAUUCUGGGCAUUGCUCUUGAGGCUUGUUGAGGUGAAACAUCCUUGCAACAAAGUACACUGCCUCUCUUCUGUAUUUGGGAAACAGCUACAACAGUGCUGGAAAAGUUUGCAUCUUAGGAUGACCUGAAGAAGGAAUAGCCAGGACAGGUAUUAAAUUUCUGAAUUAAUAUGAACAUCCAUAUGAUAGCAACAUUAGUGCUGGCAUUCUUAAAUAGAGAAGAAAUAAAAUUAGAUUGAGCCUAUAAGGACA